GAGAGAGGAGCUCUCAACUAGAGAGAGAGAGAGAGAGAGAGAGAGAGAGAGAGAGUCCAAGCCAUGAAACUCACGGCCAUGGCUGAGCUAGAGCAAGCUCACAAAGUUGAUAUCAAACACUAAUUUUCUAAGGUGUUCCACUCAAUUGAAGGCCAUAGUAACGUGAAUUUAAUCCUUUGGAGCAACAAGAAUACUUGCCAUUUUAAUUCACCAAUUUCAGCAAAUUAAGGAGUCAAGUUAUUAAGGUUGAGACACUUUGGGCAGCGUAUACGUAUUGUGUUACGGAUAAGCGCUAAAGGUGCAGAUACUCGCUUUGGUGAUCCGCUAGCUUAGGACUUCUAUUCAGCUGUCUUGGAGUGCUCCAUUGUCCCGGAACCUAGACUUUUGGUACAGAUCCUUUUGAUGUACAUAUAUGUUUAUCCAGGAGUACGGCGGGAACCCUGUCCCGUCAUAUGUCACUGUUGAUACUCUUAGAGGUCUGUAGACAUAUGUGUGGGUUGUAUAUAUAUGUUGUUCAGUUGUGCCUAUAUGACUUAUAUUUUGGGACGUUCCCAUUCGUAGUGGCAGCCUUGUCGGCUUGCGUAUAUACAUAUUUUGGGAUGUUAUAUGUAGUGGCAGCCUUGUCGGCUUGCGUAUGUAUAGUUGGGACGUUCCCAUUCGUAGUGGCAGCCUUGUCGGCUUGCGUAUAUACAUAUUUUGGGAUGUUAUAUGUAGUGGCAGCCUUGUCGGCUUGCGUAUGUAUAGUUGGGACGUUCCCAUACGUUAUGACAACCUUGUCGGCUUGUGUACUAUGUUAUCUUUUGAUGGUUGUGACUCCUCAGGAGACAGGUUGCCUUGAUAUGUAUAUGUGACAGUCCCGAGACAACGUUUCAUUUUUAUAGGUUCCAUAUUAUGUUUGGUUGUGAAUUGAUUAUAGAUAACAGGUGUGUACACGAGUGUCCAGUUCGGGCACUAGUCACGGCCUACGAGAUUAGGUCGUGACAGUAUGAAGCCCAUGGGACAAUAUUAUAAAUAGGGCUCAUUGCUCUACUUUUGAGGGGUUGACUUCCUCAUAUCAAGACAUUUUGUACAAGAAAAUAUA
Long non-coding RNA from Lycium barbarum (goji berry), 1081 nucleotides. RefSeq lists it as uncharacterized. The transcript is spliced from 3 exons. Lineage: Eukaryota; Viridiplantae; Streptophyta; Magnoliopsida; Solanales; Solanaceae. The record is from RefSeq and is a predicted model, not a curated record.